UCUUAAAAAAUUCCUAAACAUGGAAUCCAAAAUCAAUUUUGUUCCUGAAAACAAAACCAUAACCAAAACCCCAGAUCGUUCUCCUUCUAAUCGUUUCUCCCAGAACCCGUGAUUCAAUCUCAAGGUUUCAACAAUUUCUUCGAUCGGUAACCAAUUUCUUCGAUCUGUAAACAUUUUUCAAUCUCAAUUGUGAACCAUUUUUUUUCUCCUUCUUAAGUGGUAAUGAUAAUCUGAAAAACCCCUAAAUCGAAUAUUGAAUCUUGUUUUCCUGCUGGUAAUAAUGGGUAAGCUAAUGCCAUUGUCACAAGGAGCACAAUCUGAAUUUCUUGAUUCCCUUACAACAGAUGUUAAUAAAUGUGUUGAAGCUCUGCAAGAGUUUCAGGAAAGCAUCUCCAGAAUCUUUAAUGCUGCAUGUUGAUCAGCUCACUAGGAAUGUGAAUGAGGGACAUCUGAAGGAGAUUUUUGGUAA
This is a long non-coding RNA of Papaver somniferum (opium poppy), 469 nucleotides long. RefSeq lists it as uncharacterized. The record is from RefSeq and is a predicted model, not a curated record. Lineage: Eukaryota; Viridiplantae; Streptophyta; Magnoliopsida; Ranunculales; Papaveraceae. The transcript has 3 exons.